Molecule: ribosomal RNA, 159 nt
Filed under: Alternaria rosae
Lineage: Eukaryota; Fungi; Ascomycota; Dothideomycetes; Pleosporales; Pleosporaceae
Description: partial 28S ribosomal RNA
Rfam family: Eukaryotic large subunit ribosomal RNA
Source: RNAcentral
UUGACCUCGGAUCAGGUAGGGAUACCCGCUGAACUUAAGCAUAUCAAUAAGCGGAGGAAAAGAAACCAACAGGGAUUGCCCUAGUAACGGCGAGUGAAGCGGCAACAGCUCAAAUUUGAAAUCUGGCUCUUUCAGAGUCCGAGUUGUAAUUUGCAGAGG